Molecule: long non-coding RNA, 274 nt
Filed under: Capsicum annuum
Lineage: Eukaryota; Viridiplantae; Streptophyta; Magnoliopsida; Solanales; Solanaceae
Description: long non-coding RNA (CANN_LNC012870)
Source: RNAcentral
CCAAUUGGAUCUCCUCACUAAAAUCAUGGUGGUAGCGUCUACAAAAAAUACCAAUGUAUUUCACUCUUAAGGUGCCAAAAGUUAUGAUGAGGAAGAAUAUAUGGCAAUCGAUAAAGGGAUAAGGUUUUUGGAAAAUUAUUUAAGGGUUCCCGCCCUGCCUAUCAAAGGUAAGGUGGGAAUCAAGGUUGGAAUGAUUGAGACUAAGAUCAUAAUUAGCAUGAUGGAGAUUGAGACUGGAGGGACAAAGAGAGAGAUUAUGAUAGUUAUGUGCCCC